UCAACACAGGAAAGAAAACUGCAUCCGUCAAGCCAUUUAACUCCACGCUAAUCGUGUGAGAGAUUCGUCUAUCUUUCCCUUCUCACUAUUGCAUACUUUUCCCUUGCAGAUUUAGAAAACAAGGUCAAAGGAUACACCUCCAAAGGGGAGAUGGAGGCGAGGAGAGCUCAGCAUAUCCUUCUGCCUCUCAACGCUGCAGUCCCAUCCAAACCUGAGGAGGACAGUAAGUGGUUUUCCACAAGAAUCUUCCAGAGCUAGCUGAACAGAGCAGGAAUGAGAAAACACAGCUACAAGAACAACAUCUACAAGAUCACCGGCCAGAACAAUGAGAUGAGCACCCAGGUGACCCUCAUUACCUCUCCAUAGAGAGAAUUCAGCACCUAAAACAACAGGACGGAGAGAUUCACAUGGAUCCAGUCCAAGAGUGGCCUGAGGAGAGGGAGGUUCCUCCAGUCCCAAAAGGUGCGAUGAAGGAUUUUAAUGCUGCUGUGCGUGGUUCCAUUCCAGAAGAGCCAUUGAUCAUGAGGCUAGGGGUGCUGCUCAGCCACCCCAGAUCAUUACGACCAGAGCCAGUGGAGACUACUGACCAUUACAGUACACAAGGAGAUUCUCUUGAAACUACUGUGGAAACAAGUGAAUUGAGCUCACUUGUCUGUGUUUGGCCUUUGGAAUGCCCAAUUCCCAAUGCGCUCUAAGUCCUUGUGGUGGCGUAGUGACUCGCCUCAAUCUGGGUGGCAAGGGGACGAAGCUCAGUUGUCUCCGCGUCUGAGACCGUCAAUCCGCACGUCUUAUCACGUGGCUUGUUGAGCAAUAGCGUGGAGGCUUCACGCUAUUCUCCGCGGCAUCCACGCCAACUCUCCACGCGCCCCACCGAGAGCGAGAACCACAUUAUAGCGACCACAAGGAGGUUACCCCAUGUGACUCUACCCACCUUAGCAACUGGCCAAUUUGGUUGCUUAAGAGACCUGGCUGGAGUCACUCAGCACACCCUGGAUUCGAACUCGAGACUCCAGGGGCGGUAGUCAGCAUCAAUACUCGCUGAUCUACCCAGGCCCCCAGUUUUGUUUUGUUUUGUUUUGUUUUGUUUUUUGGAGUUAUAAACAAGUCCAGCAGGUUUCUACAGCAAAUCUGAUUUAAUUUGAGUAGUGGACUGAUAAAGUAAUUAAUCUGACACAUGAAUGAUAAAAGAAAAUGAGUAGGUGUUGGGGUUGAGUUAAGGUUAUCUCUUUGUUCUACUGCUAAUUUUUCUUUUAAAAUGUUAAUUUUUUAAAAAAUUGUAUUCCAAAUGAGUGUCAAAAUAACAAAUCCAUUAAACAAAUAAUACAUUUAAUAGAGGGAAAAAAAUGUAUAUCAAAUAAGACUUCCUAAAGAGUUAGAUGUCCCAGGUCCAGAUGGUUAGACAUGCACGUGUGUACAGACUGAGGGUUCAUCCAUGAAGCAAAUACUAAUGCAGCUGACAAGAGGACACGUCUUUCAGGUUUUAAUUUGACAUUGACAGAUGAACGAUCACAAGUUUAGAACAGCUUAUGUGAUCAAAAUAAAAAAUAAAACCUGAUAUAAUAUUCCCCCGUUUGCUGAUCACAAAAGGCUGUGAAAUGGAGAAAUAAACUAAACAUAUUCACAAUAUAUUGUUGAAAUAAGUUUAGUUUGAGGAAUGCAUUUUCUUUAAAGCUGAUUCAAAUGGAGUAUUAGAACAAACACAAUAUAUUAAACACAUGAAUUACAUUAUGAAAGUUUGUUGCAAUGCUUUUGCUUUAUUAAUAGACAAGACCCUUUCCUUUUUGUUACACAAAAACUGCAAACAAUACACUAUUACUGUCACUAAUACUAUAACUAGUAAUAGUUCUAAAGAUAAUUGUUUUGUAGCGAAAAAUUUUUCUAUAAAAACAUGGAUUUAGUUUUAGUUUUAUUGACAAAAUAUUUCAGAAUCUUCUAAUAAAGUUAUCAAAUUCAAAACUAUAGAAGUACUGUGUAAAAUGUAAUAAUUCAUAAAGUAAUUCAUAAAACAAUUAUUUUAAUAUAUAAAAGUAUCUUUGUUUUUCUAUGGAACUUUUU
Molecule: long non-coding RNA, 2055 nt
Organism: Myxocyprinus asiaticus (Chinese sucker)
Lineage: Eukaryota; Metazoa; Chordata; Actinopteri; Cypriniformes; Catostomidae
Exons: 3
Source: RefSeq, a predicted model, not a curated record